GACGAACGCUGGCGGCGUGCCUAAUACAUGCAAGUAGAACGCUGAAGGAGGAGCUUGCUUCUCUGGAUGAGUUGCGAACGGGUGAGUAACGCGUAGGUAACCUGCCUGGUAGCGGGGGAUAACUAUUGGAAACGAUAGCUAAUACCACAUAAUAGUAGAUGUUGCAUGACAUUUACUUAAAAGGUGCAAUUGCAUCACUACCAGAUGGACCUGCGUUGUAUUAGCUAGUUGGUGGGGUAACGGCUCACCAAGGCGACGAUACAUAGCCGACCUGAGAGGGUGAUCGGCCACACUGGGACUGAGACACGGCCCAGACUCCUACGGGAGGCAGCAGUAGGGAAUCUUCGGCAAUGGACGGAAGUCUGACCGAGCAACGCCGCGUGAGUGAAGAAGGUUUUCGGAUCGUAAAGCUCUGUUGUAAGAGAAGAACGAGUGUGAGAGUGGAAAGUUCACACUGUGACGGUAUCUUACCAGAAAGGGACGGCUAACUACGUGCCAGCAGCCGCGGUAAUACGUAGGUCCCGAGCGUUGUCCGGAUUUAUUGGGCGUAAAGCGAGCGCAGGCGGUUAGAUAAGUCUGAAGUUAAAGGCUGUGGCUUAACCAUAGUACGCUUUGGAAACUGUUUAACUUGAGUGCAAGAGGGGAGAGUGGAAUUCCAUGUGUAGCGGUGAAAUGCGUAGAUAUAUGGAGGAACACCGGUGGCGAAAGCGGCUCUCUGGCUUGUAACUGACGCUGAGGCUCGAAAGCGUGGGGAGCAAACAGG
Molecule: ribosomal RNA, 763 nt
Filed under: uncultured Streptococcus sp.
Lineage: Bacteria; Bacillati; Bacillota; Bacilli; Lactobacillales; Streptococcaceae
Description: bacterial SSU rRNA
Rfam family: Bacterial small subunit ribosomal RNA
Source: RNAcentral